AUACUUACCUGGACGGGGUCGACGGCUGAUCAAGAAGAGUCGUGGCCUAGGCUAGUGGUCCACAUUGCACUUGGUGGAUGCGUUGGCUUACCAUCUCCCCAAGAGGGAGAGUGGACGUCAUAAUUUAUGGUAGAGGGGGUACGCGUUCGCGCGGCCCCUG
RNAcentral lists this small nuclear RNA (160 nucleotides) under Triticum aestivum (bread wheat). RNAcentral describes it as "U1 spliceosomal RNA". It matches the Rfam family "U1 spliceosomal RNA". Rfam says of the family: U1 is a small nuclear RNA (snRNA) component of the spliceosome (involved in pre-mRNA splicing). Its 5' end forms complementary base pairs with the 5' splice junction, thus defining the 5' donor site of an intron. There are significant differences in sequence and secondary structure between metazoan and yeast U1 snRNAs, the latter being much longer (568 nucleotides as compared to 164 nucleotides in human). Lineage: Eukaryota; Viridiplantae; Streptophyta; Magnoliopsida; Poales; Poaceae. The record is from Rfam by way of RNAcentral. RNAcentral also lists the same sequence under 1 other name.